This 441-nucleotide ribosomal RNA is filed under the name uncultured bacterium. Its description in RNAcentral is "partial 16S ribosomal RNA". It matches the Rfam family "Bacterial small subunit ribosomal RNA", at positions 338 to 795 of the family's 1533-position model. The record is from RNAcentral.
CCUACGGGUGGCAGCAGUGGGGAAUAUUGCACAAUGGGGGGAACCCUGAUGCAGCGACGCCGCGUGGGUGAAGGAGUAUUUCGGUAUGUAAAGCCCUAUCAGCAGGGAAGAACAAUGACGGUACCUGACUAAGAAGCACCGACUAAAUACGUGCCAGCAGCCGCGGUAAUACGUAUGGUGCAAGCGUUGACCGGAUGUACUGGGUGUAAAGGGAGCGCAGGCGGCGUGUGAAGCCUGGUGUGAAAGCCCGCGGCCCAACCGCGGGACUGCAUUGGGAACUGGCGCGCUGGAGUGCCUGAGGGGUAGGUGGAAUUCCUAGUGUAGCGGUGAAAUGCGUAGAUAUUAGGAGGAACAUCAGUGGCGAAGGCGACCAACUGACCGGUGACUGACGCUGAGGCUCGAAAGCGUGGGGAGCAAACAGGAUUAGAUACCCUUGUAGUC